Molecule: ribosomal RNA, 395 nt
Filed under: uncultured bacterium
Lineage: Bacteria
Description: partial 16S ribosomal RNA
Rfam family: Bacterial small subunit ribosomal RNA
Source: RNAcentral
AUACGUAGGGUGCAAGCGUUAAUCGGAAUUACUGGGCGUAAAGCGUGCGCAGGCGGUUUUGUAAGACAGUGGUGAAAUCCCCGGGCUCAACCUGGGAACUGCCCUUGUGACUGCAAGGCUGGAGUGCGGCAGAGGGGGAUGGAAUUCCGCGUGUAGCAGUGAAAUGCGUAGAUAUGCGGAGGAACACCGAUGGCGAAGGCAAUCCACUGGGCCUGCACUGACGCUCAUGCACGAAAGCGUGGGGAGCAAACAGGAUUAGAUACCCUGGUGGUCCACGCCCUAAACGAUGUCAACUGGUUGUUGGGGAUUUAUUUUCUCAGUAACGAAGCUAACGCGUGAAGUUGACCGCCUGGGGAGUACGGCCGCAAGGUUAAAACUCAAAUGAAUUGACGGGG